GAUGAACGCUAGCGGCAGGCUUAACACAUGCAAGUCGAGGGGCAGCACGUCUUCGGAUGGUGGCGACCGGCGCACGGGUGCGUAACGCGUAUAGAACCUACCUUUUACAGGGGAAUAGCCCAGAGAAAUUUGGAUUAAUGCCCCAUAGUAUUAUUAGAUGGCAUCAUUUGAUAAUUAAACAUUUAUGGGUAAAAGAUGGCUAUGCGUUCUAUUAGCUAGAUGGUAAGGUAACGGCUUACCAUGGCGACGAUAGAUAGGGGUCCUGAGAGGGAGAUCCCCCACACUGGUACUGAGACACGGACCAGACUCCUACGGGAGGCAGCAGUGAGGAAUAUUGGACAAUGGGCGAGAGCCUGAUCCAGCCAUGCCGCGUGCAGGAAGACGGUCCUAUGGAUUGUAAACUGCUUUUUAUACAGGAAGAAACACUCCCUCGUGAGGGAAUUUGACGGUACUGUAUGAAUAAGCACCGGCUAACUCCGUGCCAGCAG
RNAcentral lists this ribosomal RNA (488 nucleotides) under uncultured bacterium. RNAcentral describes it as "bacterial SSU rRNA". It matches the Rfam family "Bacterial small subunit ribosomal RNA", at positions 28 to 514 of the family's 1533-position model. The record is from RNAcentral.